This 743-nucleotide ribosomal RNA is filed under the name uncultured bacterium. RNAcentral describes it as "bacterial SSU rRNA". It matches the Rfam family "Bacterial small subunit ribosomal RNA", at positions 9 to 752 of the family's 1533-position model. The record is from RNAcentral.
GAGUUUGAACCUGGCUCAGGAUGAACGCUGGCGGCGUGCCUAACACAUGCAAGUCGAACGAAGCAUGCCGGAGGAAGUUUUCGGAUGGAAUCCGGGAUGACUGAGUGGCGGACGGGUGAGUAACGCGUGGGUAACCUGCCCUGUACAGGGGGACAACAGUUAGAAAUGACUGCUAAUACCGCAUAAGCGCACAGGACCGCAUGGUCCGGUGUGAAAAACUCCGGUGGUACAGGAUGGACCCGCGUCUGAUUAGGUAGUUGGCGGGGUAACGGCCCACCAAGCCGACGAUCAGUAGCCGACCUGAGAGGGUGACCGGCCACAUUGGGACUGAGACACGGCCCAAACUCCUACGGGAGGCAGCAGUGGGGAAUAUUGCACAAUGGGGGAAACCCUGAUGCAGCGACGCCGCGUGAGUGAAGAAGUAUUUCGGUAUGUAAAGCUCUAUCAGCAGGGAAGAAAAUGACGGUACCUGACUAAGAAGCCCCGGCUAACUACGUGCCAGCAGCCGCGGUAAUACGUAGGGGGCAAGCGUUAUCCGGAUUUACUGGGUGUAUAGGGAGCGUAGACGGCAGAGCAAGUCUGAAGUGAAAGCCCGCGGCCCAACUGCGGGACUGCUUUGGAAACUGCCCGGCUAGAGUGCUGGAGAGGUAAGCGGAAUUCCUAGUGUAGCGGUGAAAUGCGUAGAUAUUAGGAGGAACACCAGUGGCGAAGGCGGCUUACUGGACAGUAACUGACGUUGAGGC